RNAcentral lists this ribosomal RNA (447 nucleotides) under uncultured bacterium. RNAcentral describes it as "bacterial SSU rRNA". It matches the Rfam family "Bacterial small subunit ribosomal RNA", at positions 355 to 825 of the family's 1533-position model. The record is from RNAcentral.
UCGGGAAUUUUGGGCAAUGGGCGAAAGCCUGACCCAGCAACGCCGCGUGAAGGAUGAAGUAUUUCGGUAUGUAAACUUCGAAAGAAUAGGAAGAAUAAAUGACGGUACUAUUUAUAAGGUCCGGCUAACUACGUGCCAGCAGCCGCGGUAAUACGUAGGGACCAAGCGUUGUUCGGAUUUACUGGGCGUAAAGGGCGCGUAGGCGGCAAUUCAAGUCAUCUGUGAAAUCUCCGGGCUUAACUCGGAACGGUCAGAUGAUACUGCUUUGCUAGAGUGCAGAAGGGGCAAUCGGAAUUCUUGGUGUAGCGGUGAAAUGCGUAGAUAUCAAGAGGAACACCUGAGGUGAAGACGGGUUGCUGGGCUGACACUGACGCUGAGGCGCGAAAGCGUGGGGAGCAAACAGGAUUAGAUACCCGUGUAGUCCCUGAGCGGGCUGGCAAGGCGCAU